RNAcentral lists this signal recognition particle RNA (97 nucleotides) under Bifidobacterium sp. CP2. Its description in RNAcentral is "signal recognition particle sRNA small type". It matches the Rfam family "Bacterial small signal recognition particle RNA". From Rfam's summary of the family: The signal recognition particle (SRP) is a universally conserved ribonucleoprotein involved in the co-translational targeting of proteins to membranes. Archaeal SRP consists of a 7S RNA and homologues of the eukaryotic SRP19 and SRP54 proteins. Lineage: Bacteria; Bacillati; Actinomycetota; Actinomycetes; Bifidobacteriales; Bifidobacteriaceae. RNAcentral also lists the same sequence under 1 other name. The record is from RNAcentral.
UCUGAGCCUCCACGCGGCGCUACGUCGCCCAAUCCCCCCAGGGCAGGAAUGCAGCAAGGGUAAGCGGCCUCUUGCGGGUGUGUGGAGGUUUUCUUAU